GCAUGCCUUACACAUGCAAGUCGAACGGCAGCGGGGGUAGCUUGCUACCUGCCGGCGAGUGGCGAACGGGUGAGUAAUACAUCGGAACGUGCCCUGUAGUGGGGGAUAACUAGUCGAAAGACUAGCUAAUACCGCAUACGACCUGAGGGUGAAAGUGGGGGACCGCAAGGCCUCAUGCUAUAGGAGCGGCCGAUGUCUGAUUAGCUAGUUGGUGGGGUAAAGGCCUACCAAGGCGACGAUCAGUAGCUGGUCUGAGAGGACGAUCAGCCACACUGGGACUGAGACACGGCCCAGACUCCUACGGGAGGCAGCAGUGGGGAAUUUUGGACAAUGGGGGCAACCCUGAUCCAGCAAUGCCGCGUGUGUGAAGAAGGCCUUCGGGUUGUAAAGCACUUUUGUCCGGAAAGAAAUCGCUUCGGUUAAUACCUGGAGUGGAUGACGGUACCGGAAGAAUAAGGACCGGCUAACUACGUGCCAGCAGCCGCGGUAAUACGUAGGGUCCAAGCGUUAAUCGGAAUUACUGGGCGUAAAGCGUGCGCAGGCGGUUGUGCAAGACCGAUGUGAAAUCCCCGGGCUUAACCUGGGAAUUGCAUUGGUGACUGCACGGCUAGAGUGUGUCAGAGGGAGGUAGAAUUCCACGUGUAGCAGUGAAAUGCGUAGAGAUGUGGAGGAAUACCGAUGGCGAAGGCAGCCUCCUGGGAUAACACUGACGCUCAUGCACGAAAGCGUGG
This 731-nucleotide ribosomal RNA is filed under the name Ralstonia solanacearum. RNAcentral describes it as "bacterial SSU rRNA". It matches the Rfam family "Bacterial small subunit ribosomal RNA", at positions 42 to 764 of the family's 1533-position model. Lineage: Bacteria; Pseudomonadati; Pseudomonadota; Betaproteobacteria; Burkholderiales; Burkholderiaceae. The record is from RNAcentral.